UGAAUACGAGAUGCUACGGCGUCGAAGCAGUGUAUGUCAGACUUCCAAGAAAAGCUCGCAAUGUCAUAAAUAAAGAAUGCCUGUACCAUAACCGACACAGGUGGGUAGGUAGAGUAUACUAAGGGGCGCGAGAUAACUCUCUCUAAGGAACUCGGCAAAAUAACUCCGUAACUUCGGGAGAAGGAGUGCCUUCUUUAAGAAGGUUGCAAUAACAAGAUCCAAGCAACUGUUUAUCAAAAACACAGGUCUCCGCUAAGUCGUAAGACGAUGUAUGGGGGCUGACGCCUGCCCAGUGCCAGAAGGUUAAAGAAGUUGGUUAGCUUUUGCGAAGCUGAUGACUGAAGCCCUGGUGAACGGCGGCCGUAACUAUAACGGUCCUAAGGUAGCGAAAUUCCUUGUCGGGUAAGUUCCGACCCGCACGAAAGGCGUAAUGAUUUGGAUACUGUCUCGGAGAGGGACUCGGUGAAAUAGACUUGUCUGUGAAGAUGCGGACUACCUGCACCAGGACAGAAAGACCCUAUGAAGCUUUACUGUAACUUGAAAUUGAAAUUGGACUUUAUUUGCGCAGUAUAGGUGGAAGGCGUUGAAAGUAAUCUUGCGGGAUUAGUGGAGCCAUCAGUGAGAUACCACUCCUAUAAUGUUAGAUUUCUAACUUUGGAUCAUGAUCUGGUCAAAGAACAGUUUCAGGCGGGCAGUUUGACUGGGGCGGUCGCCUCCCAAAUGGUAACGGAGGCGUACAAAGGUUUCCUCUGAACGGGUAGAAAUCGUAUCUAGAGUGUAAAGGCAUAAGGAAGCUUGACUGUGAGACCUACAAGUCGAGCAGGGACGAAAGUCGGUCUUAGUGAUCUGACGGUGCUGAGUGGAAAGGCCGUCACUCAACGGAUAAAAGUUACUCUAGGAUAACAGGCUGAUCUCCCCCAAGAGUUCACAUCGACGGGGAGGUUUGGCACCUCGAUGUCGGCUCAUCGCAUCCUGGGGCGGUAGUACGUCCCAAGGGUUGGGCUGUUCGCCCAUGAAAGCGGUACGCGAGCUGGGUUCAGAACGUCGUGAGACAGUUCGGUCCAUAUCCGGUGUAGGCGUUAGAAUAUUGAGAGGAGCCUUCUUUAGUACGAGAGGACCGAGAAGGACAUACCUCUGGUGUACCAGUUAUCGUGCCAACGGUAAACGCUGGGUAGCUAUGUAUGGAGAGGAUAACCGCUGAAAGCAUCUAAGUGGGAAGCCCACCUCAAGAUGAGUAUUCUC
This 1242-nucleotide ribosomal RNA is filed under the name metagenome. RNAcentral describes it as "bacterial LSU rRNA". It matches the Rfam family "Bacterial large subunit ribosomal RNA", at positions 1564 to 2815 of the family's 2925-position model. The record is from RNAcentral.